RNAcentral lists this ribosomal RNA (227 nucleotides) under Aplanochytrium stocchinoi. RNAcentral describes it as "partial Bacterial large subunit ribosomal RNA". It matches the Rfam family "Bacterial large subunit ribosomal RNA", at positions 17 to 263 of the family's 2925-position model. The record is from RNAcentral. Lineage: Eukaryota; Bigyra; Thraustochytrida; Thraustochytriidae.
GCAUCUGGUGGAUGCCUUGGCGGCAACAGGCGAUGAAAGACGUAGUAGCCUGCGAUAAGCCUCGGGGAGCUGGCAAACAAGCUUUGAUCCGAGGAUUUCUGAAUGGGGCAACCCACGGCUUAGGCCGUAUCCCGCAAGGGAGGCUAACGCAGGGAACUGAAACAUCUAAGUACCUGCAGGAAAAGAAAUCAACCGAGAUUCCCCUAGUAGUGGCGAGCGAACGGGGA